CGUGUAGGUGGCUAAUUAGGUCAGGUGUGAAAUCCUUCCGCUUAACGGAAGAAGUGCACUUGAAACUGCUUAGCUAGAGUACGGGAGAGGAAGGUGGAAUUCCUGGUGUAGAGGUGAAAUUCAUAGAUAUCGGGAAGAACACCGGUGGCGAAGGCGGCCUUCUGGCCCGAUACUGACGCUGAGACGCGAAAGCGUGGGGAGCAAACA
RNAcentral lists this ribosomal RNA (207 nucleotides) under uncultured bacterium. RNAcentral describes it as "partial 16S ribosomal RNA". It matches the Rfam family "Bacterial small subunit ribosomal RNA", at positions 568 to 774 of the family's 1533-position model. The record is from RNAcentral.